GACGAACGCUGGCGGCGUGCCUAAUACAUGCAAGUUGAGCGCUGAAGGUUGGUACUUGUACCAACUGGAUGAGCAGCGAACGGGUGAGUAACGCGUGGGGAAUCUGCCUUUGAGCGGGGGACAACAUUUGGAAACGAAUGCUAAUACCGCAUAAAAACUUUAAACACAAGUUUUAAGUUUGAAAGAUGCAAUUGCAUCACUCAAAGAUGAUCCCGCGUUGUAUUAGCUAGUUGGUGAGGUAAAGGCUCACCAAGGCGAUGAUACAUAGCCGACCUGAGAGGGUGAUCGGCCACCUUGGGACUGGGACACGGCCCAAACUCCCUCGGGAGGCAGCAGGAGGGGAUCUUCGGCAAUUGACGAAAGUCUGACCGGGCCACGCCGCGUGAGUUGAGAAGGGUUUCGGAUCGUAAAACUCUGUUGGUAGGGAAGAACGUUGGUUAGAGUGGAAAGCUCAUCAAGUGACGGUAACUACCCAGAAAGGGACGGCUAACUACGUG
Molecule: ribosomal RNA, 497 nt
Filed under: uncultured bacterium
Lineage: Bacteria
Description: partial 16S ribosomal RNA
Rfam family: Bacterial small subunit ribosomal RNA
Source: RNAcentral